Molecule: ribosomal RNA, 465 nt
Filed under: uncultured Klebsiella sp.
Lineage: Bacteria; Pseudomonadati; Pseudomonadota; Gammaproteobacteria; Enterobacterales; Enterobacteriaceae
Description: bacterial SSU rRNA
Rfam family: Bacterial small subunit ribosomal RNA
Source: RNAcentral
CCUACGGGCGGCUGCAGUGGGGAAUAUUGCACAAUGGGCGCAAGCCUGAUGCAGCCAUGCCGCGUGUGUGAAGAAGGCCUUCGGGUUGUAAAGCACUUUCAGCGGGGAGGAAGGCGUUAAGGUUAAUAACCUUGUCGAUUGACGUUACCAGCAGAAGAAGCACCGGCUAACUCCGUGCCAGCAGCCGCGGUAAUACGGAGGGUGCAAGCGUUAAUCGGAAUUACUGGGCGUAAAGCGCACGCAGGCGGUCUGUCAAGUUGGAUGUGAAAUCCCCGGGCUCAACCUGGGAACUGCAUUCGAAACUGGCAGGCUAGAGUCUUGUAGAGGGGGGUAGAAUUCCAGGUGUAGCGGUGAAAUGCGUAGAGAUCUGGAGGAAUACCGGUGGCGAAGGCGGCCCCCUGGACAAAGACUGACGCUCAGGUGCGAAAGCGUGGGGAGCAAACAGGAUUAGAUACCCGUGUAGUC